AAAUUGAAGAGUUUGAUCAUGGCUCAGAUUGAACGCUGGCGGCAGGCCUAACACAUGCAAGUCGAACGGUAACAGGAAGCAGCUUGCUGCUUUGCUGACGAGUGGCGGACGGGUGAGUAAUGUCUGGGAAACUGCCUGAUGGAGGGGGAUAACUACUGGAAACGGUGGCUAAUACCGCAUAACGUCGCAAGACCAAAGAGGGGGACCUUCGGGCCUCUUGCCAUCAGAUGUGCCCAGAUGGGAUUAGCUUGUUGGUGAGGUAACGGCUCACCAAGGCGACGAUCCCUAGCUGGUCUGAGAGGAUGACCAGCCACACUGGAACUGAGACACGGUCCAGACUCCUACGGGAGGCAGCAGUGGGGAAUAUUGCACAAUGGGCGCAAGCCUGAUGCAGCCAUGCCGCGUGUAUGAAGAAGGCCUUCGGGUUGUAAAGUACUUUCAGCGGGGAGGAAGGUGUUGUGGUUAAUAACCACAGCAAUUGACGUUACCCGCAGAAGAAGCACCGGCUAACUCCGUGCCAGCAGCCGCGGUAAUACGGAGGGUGCAAGCGUUAAUCGGAAUUACUGGGCGUAAAGCGCACGCAGGCGGUCUGUCAAGUCGGAUGUGAAAUCCCCGGGCUCAACCUGGGAACUGCAUUCGAAACUGGCAGGCUUGAGUCUUGUAGAGGGGGGUAGAAUUCCAGGUGUAGCGGUGAAAUGCGUAGAGAUCUGGAGGAAUACCGGUGGCGAAGGCGGCCCCCUGGACAAAGACUGACGCUCAGGUGCGAAAGCGUGGGGAGCAAACAGGAUUAGAUACCCUGGUAGUCCACGCCGUAAACGAUGUCUACUUGGAGGUUGUGCCCUUGAGGCGUGGCUUCCGGAGCUAACGCGUUAAGUAGACCGCCUGGGGAGUACGGCCGCAAGGUUAAAACUCAAAUGAAUUGACGGGGGCCCGCACAAGCGGUGGAGCAUGUGGUUUAAUUCGAUGCAACGCGAAGAACCUUACCUGGUCUUGACAUCCACGGAAGGUCUCAGAGAUGAGACUGUGCCUUCGGGAACCGUGAGACAGGUGCUGCAUGGCUGUCGUCAGCUCGUGUUGUGAAAUGUUGGGUUAAGUCCCGCAACGAGCGCAACCCUUAUCCUUUGUUGCCAGCGGUCCGGCCGGGAACUCAAAGGAGACUGCCAGUGAUAAACUGGAGGAAGGUGGGGAUGACGUCAAGUCAUCAUGGCCCUUACGACCAGGGCUACACACGUGCUACAAUGGCGCAUACAAAGAGAAGCGACCUCGCGAGAGCAAGCGGACCUCAUAAAGUGCGUCGUAGUCCGGAUUGGAGUCUGCAACUCGACUCCAUGAAGUCGGAAUCGCUAGUAAUCGUGGAUCAGAAUGCCACGGUGAAUACGUUCCCGGGCCUUGUACACACCGCCCGUCACACCAUGGGAGUGGGUUGCAAAAGAAGUAGGUAGCUUAACCUUCGGGAGGGCGCUUACCACUUUGUGAUUCAUGACUGGGGUGAAGUCGUAACAAGGUAACCGUAGGGGAACCUGCGGUUGGAUCACCUCCUUA
RNAcentral lists this ribosomal RNA (1542 nucleotides) under Salmonella enterica subsp. salamae. RNAcentral's name for it is "bacterial SSU rRNA". It matches the Rfam family "Bacterial small subunit ribosomal RNA". Lineage: Bacteria; Pseudomonadati; Pseudomonadota; Gammaproteobacteria; Enterobacterales; Enterobacteriaceae. The record is from RNAcentral.